This is a non-coding RNA of Oryza sativa Japonica Group (Japanese rice), 2248 nucleotides long. The record is from RefSeq and is a predicted model, not a curated record. Lineage: Eukaryota; Viridiplantae; Streptophyta; Magnoliopsida; Poales; Poaceae.
CUAGCAAAUUAGCAGCAUAGUAUACUGCUUGUGUUGCUGUUCUCUAGCUAAUUGUUCCCGGCAGUUGAGCUAUCUGAGACCUUGGGGGUUUGGCAUGCAUGUCGAUGGUUGUUGGAUGAACGGGUCCCAGCCUCACGGGAAGCAAUGUUGCAAUACUUCUAUUGAGGAACUCCUGUUUUCGCGGGUGCAUUGAUGGAUGCCCUCCAUGUCCACGAACAUGUUCAGUUCCGAAAUUUGGACAUUAUAUAUAUACAUUUAUCACGCAGUUCUCUCUGAAAUUAAAUUUGAGGUGAUGAUUCGGAAAUUUGUGUUAUGGUUGCAUUUCAGUAUCAAUCAAUUUGAGAGGAGACCCUUGUGAGCUGGACAGUGGUCGUCCGUUGAUGCACGAUUCUCCAGGAUACACAUCUGUUUUUCUUAUGAUCAACAUUCAACUGGACAAGGAGUUGAACGCUGCUUCUCGGUCUUGGUCCCCUUACCUGUAGGGUAUGAGAAGGCGCCAUCGCUUUUGUUUGGAUCCAAGGGGAGGGUUCUUCCGAUCGAGCCUCACAAAAUCACCUUGUGUCAAGUGCUUAGGAUGCUGACAAAUGACAAUGACUGCCAUCAAGCGGAAACUAGGCAGAGUACUGAUGAUGAUGGCGUCUAAUGGAGAGUGCGAGGCACAUGCAAAUGUGCAAUGGAGGUGGUGUGAAAACACAAUGAUGCCAUGCAUGAUGGACCUAUUUUAUUCUACUUGUUGCGCCCUUUCUUGAUGCCCUUUAAUUUGCAGUUGACACAGAUGAGCAGCACACUCACUCGAUCCAUGGAUAAGUAAAGGCAAAAUUAUAGAGAGAGAGAGUUGCAACUGCAUGCGAAAAUACGACAUGACAGUAUAAUACUUCAUCCGUCCAAAAAUAUAAGGGAUUUUGAGUUUUUUGUUUGCACUGUUUGACCACUCAUCUUAUUUAGAAAAUUUAUGUAAAUAUAAAAAACAAAAAGUUAUGCUUAAAAUAUUUUAGAUAAUAAAGCGAGUCAAAAAAAUAAAUAAUAACUUUAUUUUUUUUAAUAAAACGAGUGAUCAAAUAGUGCAAACAAAAACUCACGAACGGGGCGAGUAUGCUGCAGCGAAAAAGUUUGCACGAUACGAGGGUAAACGUGGGCAGGGAGGGGGUGAUGACUGAUGAGAUGAGACCUCGCGUGUGCCUGAUCCUGACCAGGGCAGAUUUUGCGACUGUUUCGUUGUUAUCAUUAGACGUCGUUCCACUUUUAGCUAGGGCCGGACGGUAAUCAGGUCAGAAGCGUUGCACCAAACCUAGGAAUUCCAGGCCACUUCUCGCAGCCACCCAGGAACAACUUGACUUCUUUUUUUUUUUCUUUUUCUUUUGCCCCUACUAGAAAUGGAACGACUUGACAUAUCGCGAUAGAAAUGUUUUUUUAAGAACUGAUAGAAAUGGAUAUGGAUGAAUUUAGGUUGCGUUUAGUUAUAGGGGUGUAAAGUUUUAACGUGUCACAUCGGGUACGCCGGUACAAAUUAGUCGGAAUAUGUGCAAUUAGUUAUUUUUUAGCCUAUAUUUAAUACUCCAGACGUGUUUCCAAAUAUUCUGUAAAUAUUCGAUAUGACAUGGUGUAAAGUUUUGCUAGGGGAAGUAAACGGGGCCUUACUGUGCUAUGUAACGUGGGUUGCUGAUAUUUGAUGUGAGAUAGUAUGUCAGAGGAUCUGUUUUCGAUGAGCAUUCUUCACAUUUCCCACACAUAACAAUACAAGAGAAACACUCGAAUGCUAUAGACUUUAACAAGUCUUAAUGUAAUUAUCUACUAUUUAAAUAAACUUUAAUGUAUUUAUCAAUCAUUUUCAAAAACUACAAUAUAAUGAUUGCUUAAAAGAUGAAAUUAUUUUGAGACAAAUAAUAUGAUGAAAAUAUAUUUAUGUUAGGACGGAGGAAGUAUUGAAUAGAAAAAAUGUUAUACGUACAAAGUUAUUCACACAAAACUUUUAUGAACGUUGAUGUGGCAAGAUGGGAGUAAAUAUAAGAUUUUCUGUAACUUUUACAGUUCGAUAGUUAACAGCUAUAUUUGAAAGAUUUUUUUAAGUACGCUUGACACGCUCUAUCAAAGAAGGCAUCGCAACGCUUUGCGAAAGAGAGAGAAGCCAUGAAACCUUUUGUUGCAAUGUUGUUGAGCCGUAGAGUUGACCACGAAAAUCCAUUCCUAAGCCCACCCGAUGCCACAGAACGCGUCUCCACAAUUUGGGCUGGAUUGUGAUACCUGUAUC